This is a non-coding RNA of Arachis ipaensis, 316 nucleotides long. The record is from RefSeq and is a predicted model, not a curated record. Lineage: Eukaryota; Viridiplantae; Streptophyta; Magnoliopsida; Fabales; Fabaceae.
CCGAACCGGUUCGGAGACCGCCGCUGUUCGGUUCAUCCGUUCCUUCUUCGUUUCGAGUCGUUAAGAUUGUUGCGAAAAACAAGCGGAGCCGGGAUUUUGGUUGUUGAUUUCGGAUUGAGGCGGAAAGGACUCUGUGAGAUGUUUGGGUUAUGGAAUUUGCGUUUUGAGGAUAUGGGCGCAGAAGUUACGAAGAGCUUAUUUAAUUGUUGUUGUGAUACUCUGUAUUGUCUUAGUUAUGGUCUAUUGUACCCUCGCCUUUAUCUUGAUAUAAUCUGUAAGAGGGAUAGGAAUUGUAUUGGUUUAUGUUUGUAAUAUU